GUCUACGGCCAUGCCACUCUGAACAAGCCUGAUCCCAUCUGAUCUUUAAACUAAGCAGGGUCAGAUCUGGUUAGUUAUUGGAUGGGAGACCACCUAGUGGGAUCAUUUUAUAAACU
This 116-nucleotide ribosomal RNA is filed under the name Pteropus alecto (black flying fox). Lineage: Eukaryota; Metazoa; Chordata; Mammalia; Chiroptera; Pteropodidae. The record is from RNAcentral.